This 497-nucleotide ribosomal RNA is filed under the name uncultured bacterium. RNAcentral's name for it is "partial 16S ribosomal RNA". It matches the Rfam family "Bacterial small subunit ribosomal RNA", at positions 28 to 507 of the family's 1533-position model. The record is from RNAcentral.
GAUGAACGCUGGCGGCGUGCCUAAUACAUGCAAGUCGAGCGAACGGACGAGAAGCUUUCUUCUCUGAUGUUAGCGGCGGACGGGUGAGUAACACGUGGAUACCCUCCCUAUAAGACUGGGAUAACUUCGGGAAACCGGAGCUAAUACCGUAUAAUAUUUUGAACCGCAUUGUUCAAAAUUAAAAGACUGUCUUGCUGUCACUUAUAUAUGUAUCCUCGCUGCAUUAGCUAGUUGGGAAGGUAACGGCUUACCAAGGCAACGAUGCGUAGCCGACCUGAGAGGGUGAUAGGCCACACUAGAACUGAGACAAGGUACAGACUACUACGGGAGGCAGCAGUAGGGAAACGUACGCAAUGGGAGAAAGCCGGACGGAGCAAAGCCGCGUGAGGGAUGAAGGUAUUCGGAUAGUAAAACUCUGUUAUUAGGGAAGAACAUAUGUGGAAGGAACUGUGAACAUCUUGAAGGUACCUAAUCAGAAAGCCACGGCUAACUACGUG